RNAcentral lists this ribosomal RNA (410 nucleotides) under Plakobranchus cf. ocellatus PoccKT. RNAcentral's name for it is "partial 16S ribosomal RNA". It matches the Rfam family "Archaeal large subunit ribosomal RNA", at positions 1924 to 2631 of the family's 2987-position model. The record is from RNAcentral. Lineage: Eukaryota; Metazoa; Mollusca; Gastropoda; Plakobranchidae.
AGCUUUAAGUUUUAUUUAAAGUGAGACCUGCCCAGUGCUAGUUAGUAAACGGCCGCAGUACCUUGACUGUGCUAAGGUAGCAUAAUCAGUUGGCUUUUAAAUGGAGUCGGGAAUGAAUGGAUUAAUAGGGUUAAGCUGUCUCUACUAUAUUAAAUUGAAUUUACUUAUUAGGUGAAAAUGCCUAAAUUGUAAAAGAAAAAAGACGAGAAGACCCUAGGAGUUUUAACUAGAUGCUAUUUAUUAUAGUUAAUGUUUUUGUUGGGGCGACAUUGGAACAAUUGUAUUUAACUUCCUUUAUGUUUAUAGGCCGACUUUGUAUGUAAAUUUAAACUACCCUAGGGAUAACAACGUAAUUUUUUUGAGCUUGCGACCUCGAUGUUGGACUAGGAAUUUGGUGGGCUAGCCGCCUA